GACGUAGGGGGCAAGCGUUGUCCGGAUUUACUGGGCGUAAAGAGCGCGUAGGCGGUCCGUUAAGUGUGAAGUGAAAUCUCCAGAGCUCAACUCGGAAACUGCUUCGCAUACUGGCGGACUUGAGGAAUGCAGAGGUGAAUAGAAUUCCUGGUGUAGCGGUGAAAUGCGUAGAUAUCAGGAGGAAUACCCAUGGCGAAGGCAGUUCACUGGGCAUUAUCUGACGCUGAGGCGCGAAAGCGUGGGUAGCAAACAGG
This 254-nucleotide ribosomal RNA is filed under the name uncultured bacterium. Its description in RNAcentral is "partial 16S ribosomal RNA". It matches the Rfam family "Bacterial small subunit ribosomal RNA", at positions 524 to 776 of the family's 1533-position model. The record is from RNAcentral.